GGUCUUCUAGAUGGUAGAAAAAUGUGCGGUGCAUUGAUAUCUCUAUGUAAUCCUGACAUGUGGGCCUUUCUUCCAUAUUUCCUGAUAACCCCCUGUAGAAAUAGACAAACACCAAAACUCGUGGAAUUCUGUCGGAUAAAACCCUAAGUCUAGGUGUUAGUUGCAUUUGGAUCCUUUUCUUUAUUUAUUUGAUGAUUAUAUUUGGUACUUAAGGACCGUCAACAACUCCCCCAAGCUUACCUCUUGCUCGUCCCUGAGCAAGGAUGAACUCAAGAGUUUCUGCAGUGGUUUCAUGCCUUAAAAGUACACACACAUUCAAGCAAGAUCUCAUCUCUGAGUUAGAAUAAACUGUUAAGACUUAAAACUUACUCAUUUUACCUUUCACCAUGGGGCUUGUAACCGUCACUUGUGUCUUGAGCAGUUAAAAGAUAGAACGGUCAAGUCGAGCGCCAUGUCUCUUGUUCUUUGAUUAACUAUGGCUCUGGAGUUUUUGCAGAUUUUCAAAUAAAACUCAGAGAUUCCUUGUAUGACUCUCUCAAAUCUCUCUUUUGUGGUGUUUCCGGAUCCUUUCCAAGGCAGUAAUGGUAUAUGCCUUCUCUCAAAGUAUGUGGUAUUUUUGGUAUGAGGCAUAGUGAUAUUGCUUUCUCUCUCACCCUACUCUAAUAAGGUUUUGAUAUCUGGAGCUCAUAGGUGGGAGACAGAUAAUACAUACUUAUAAGACAUUUAUUGCAUAGUCAAACUAUGGAUCCAGAGAAACAAGUCAAUAAGUCAAAUCAAGAUGUGCAUGUGUGGCGAGUGAAUAGUGUAUGAUGAUGAUGGUGAUAACAAUGGUGAAAGUCUAAUUCUACUUAUUGCUCUUUUUAGAGGUUACAUACCUUUCUUGCACUUUGAAGCUUUUUGAGGAGAAUGAGAUGCUCUAUAUUUUCUUUUUUCUUUCCUCUCAGGUGGGUAUCUUGUACCCCUAAUUCUACUGUCGCACACUUGUCCAUUUUUACCUCUCGUCUCACUUUUUCUUUUCUUCGAGGUUCCGGGCACUUGCCCCUUUUUAUUUCCUCGUAUUAUUUUUUUUCUCUUUCUUUUAGAGCACUCAUCUCGUGAAAGAAUGUAGCAAGUGGUAGUAACCAAGAUAACUCGAGCAUUUAUUCCAUCGGGAAAAACAGAAAUAUUUUUAGCCAUUCUUUCCCGGAUUAGGAGUAGAAUGUUUUUGGGUGGUUCUGGAGAUGGAAAUGAGUGGAUAUAUGUGGAUGGUACUUCCGGAGUAGAAGUAGCAUAUAUGAGUGAACGUGCAAGUGAAUCUUGAUUUUAACCACAUGACAAGCUCCUAAGGGUCUACACAGCUUGACCACACUCAAUGCUCGAAAGCAGUAAAAAGUAAAUGUGUGGCUCAAAGUCUAAUAAGCAUGUAUAUAUAUGGCUGUGGUAGGAUUUUAAACUCUCAUCAUACAGGAACUCAUCAUGUGUUAUUUUAAAGAUUUUUCAAAGAUGAAAUUCUCCAGAAUUCUAGCAUAUCUAGGAACAGAUAAACAAUAACUCAACCUUCUCAUAUCAUAUCCGUUAACGACUUAGACUUUAGAUCAAGUACUCUUCCCACAAGUUUAGGUUUAGAGCAAAUCUUACUUCAUAACAGUCAUGCCUAAACUUGAGAGAGAUUUCAAUUUUAAGAACUAGUCUUGGCAGAGCAACUAUUCAUCAUUUCCAUGUGAGAGUUUAUCAUGAGGGUUCAUAGCAAACUUUAUUUAUUUAUUUAUUUAGCAAACUAAGCAAAUAUAUAUAUAUAUAUAUAAAAGCACAAAAUCUUUAUUUGGGUUUUCAUGAUUAUGCAUCUUUUAUUAUUUGAGUAAAGUAUAAACGCGAGUAGAAACACUUAGCUGGAUAAAUGGGGGUGCUCUCCCCCAAGCUGGAUUUUGACGUAAUUUCUUCUGAUGUAGCUAGCAGGUGAUGGAGGUGUAUUUGAAAGUCGGCAGCACCCUGACAGUGAUUAGGAUGUCCUCCGUCUGCUAGUCUUUUUUUUUAUCCUUGAAUCCUGUGGAGCUCAAAUAGACAACAAUGCUUUGUGGAUCUAGUUAAGUGUUAGCAUAAAUAUCUAGCCUUUAUCAUGUUGAGCCUCCUCAAUAAAUAUUACUUAUUUAGCAGGAUCAUGCACUUAUUAUUUUUAUAUUUUUAUUGUAAGAUGAAAACUUAUUUAUUUUAUGCCACCACAGUGAAUGUACCUAUGGGUUUUAUGCCAUGAGCAUACUCACAUGGGGCUUACUAUUUUUUAACAUGUUUAUUUUCUUUUCAAGAUAGCAUGAACCUGAUUAACUAAGCAAACUGUAACUGAAUAAUUGAAAGGAAAAGGAUAACUACCAAGUUUAUCUCUUGGCAAGGCGUUCUGUGUUUUUAAGUCCUCCGAAUGGGACUCUCCGUUUUCAGUCGUCCUAGGAUUCGCUGGAUGGCGUAGUCGGUAGUUCCGGUGGCGCCUCCUCUUCGUGUAUAACUAUCUUCUCAUUCCACACCUGACUCAGUGCUAUGGUCUCCUCAGGACAGUUCUGUUAAAGCUGUAUGUCUUUAGACCUUAUCACUUCUCCUUCGUAGUCUACCCAUUCAUCCUUGAUGAUUUGCCUCCUCUGGUUUCGGUUGCGUCGCCUUCUUCUUGUCUUGACCUGCUUAGAGUCUUCAACUAUAUAGUUAGAAUCAUUAAAGUAGUGGCGUACCUUCUUAGAGGGGAAGUGCAUGUGGACCUCUCCGGUUCCAAUAUAGAUGAUGGCUUUGACAGUGUUGAGGAACGGUCUUAUAAAGAUGAUGGGUGGAUCGUAUUCGUCUUCUCCCAUGUCAAUGACAUGAAAAUCAUCUGGAGCUGAAUGUAUGUUGGCUGUAGGGGCAUAAUUCCAUGUAGGAGCUGAUAAGUGACUGCGACCAUUAUGUUGUCGUCAGAUCCGGUGUCGUAGAGUGUCUUCUGAAAAGAGUAUCCAUUGAUUGUGCAUUCGAUGCAUGGAACCCCAGGGUCGUCCUUCUUGAUCAGGAAAGGCGACUUGAGUCGAUGAUCUUGACCUCCUCCGACAAGGAUCCAAUGUUUUAAGUCUUCUGGACAAGACAUCUCACUGUCUUCAUCCUUUAGGUGCAUCAUUUGAUUAGGUGUGUGUAACACCCCAGUGUUAUGGUUGCAUCAAACAUGUGCAUAGCAUGAGCAUCACCAUUUAUUCAAAGCAUCCAUGAUCAUCAUCUAUCUUGAGACAUGUCAUCCUUUGC
This 3228-nucleotide long non-coding RNA is filed under the name Sorghum bicolor (sorghum). RNAcentral's name for it is "long non-coding RNA (SBIC_LNC006350)". Lineage: Eukaryota; Viridiplantae; Streptophyta; Magnoliopsida; Poales; Poaceae. The record is from RNAcentral.